CCUCCGGAAACGGAAGCUAAUACCGGAUAUGACGCACGGAGGCAUCUCCUGUGCGUGGAAAGAACUUCGGUCAAGGAUGGACUCGCGGCCUAUCAGGUAGUUGGUGAGGUAACGGCUCACCAAGCCUACGACGGGUAGCCGGCCUGAGAGGGUGACCGGCCACACUGGGACUGAGACACGGCCCAGACUCCUACGGGAGGCAGCAGUGGGGAAUAUUGCACAAUGGGCGCAAGCCUGAUGCAGCAACGCCGCGUGAGGGAUGACGGCCUUCGGGUUGUAAACCUCUUUUAGUAGGGAAGAAGCGAAAGUGACGGUACCUGCAGAAAAAGCACCGGCUAACUACGUGCCAGCAGCCGCGGUAAUACGUAGGGUGCGAGCGUUGUCCGGAAUUAUUGGGCGUAAAGAGCUCGUAGGCGGUCUGUCGCGUCUGCUGUGAAAACCCGAGGCUCAACCUCGGGCCUGCAGUGGGUACGGGCAGACUAGAGUGCGGUAGGGGAGAAUGGAAUUCCUGGUGUAGCGGUGGAAUGCGCAGAUAUCAGGAGGAACACCGAUGGCGAAGGCAGUUCUCUGGGCCGUAACUGACGCUGAGGAGCGAAAGCGUGGGGAGCGAACAGGAUUAGAUACCCUGGUAGUCCGCGCCGUAAACGUUG
Molecule: ribosomal RNA, 650 nt
Filed under: uncultured bacterium
Lineage: Bacteria
Description: bacterial SSU rRNA
Rfam family: Bacterial small subunit ribosomal RNA
Source: RNAcentral